GUGCCAGCAGCCGCGGUAAUACAGAGAGUGCAAACGUUGUUCGGAAUUACUGGGCUUAAAGCGCACGUAGGCGGCAUCGCAAGUGUCGGGUGAAAUCCCACGGCUUACCCGUGGAACUGCCCGGCAGACUGCGAUGCUCGAGUGUGGUAGGGGAGAGCGGAACUCCUGGUGGAGCGGUGAAAUGCGUAGAUAUCAGGAGGAACACCGGUGGCGAAGGCGGCUCUCUGGUCCACAACUGACGCUGAGGUGCGAAAGCUAGGGGAGCAAACGGGAUUAGAUACCCCCGUAGUCC
Molecule: ribosomal RNA, 292 nt
Filed under: uncultured bacterium
Lineage: Bacteria
Description: partial 16S ribosomal RNA
Rfam family: Bacterial small subunit ribosomal RNA
Source: RNAcentral